UUCCUGAUGGUCUAGUGAUUAGGAUUCAGCGCUUUCACUGCUGCAGCCCAGGUUCAAUCCCUGGUCUGGGAA
Molecule: transfer RNA, 72 nt
Filed under: Sus scrofa (pig)
Lineage: Eukaryota; Metazoa; Chordata; Mammalia; Artiodactyla; Suidae
Rfam family: tRNA
About the family: Transfer RNA (tRNA) molecules are approximately 80 nucleotides in length. Their secondary structure includes four short double-helical elements and three loops (D, anti-codon, and T loops).
Source: Rfam by way of RNAcentral